This 301-nucleotide ribosomal RNA is filed under the name uncultured bacterium. RNAcentral describes it as "partial 16S ribosomal RNA". It matches the Rfam family "Bacterial small subunit ribosomal RNA", at positions 509 to 809 of the family's 1533-position model. The record is from RNAcentral.
CAGUCGCCGCGGGAAUACGAAGGGUGCAAGCGUUAAUCGGAAUUACUGGGCGUAAAGCGUGCGUAGGCGGUUUGUUAAGUCUGUUGUGAAAUCCCCGGGCUCAACCUGGGAAUGGCAAUGGAUACUGGCAAGCUAGAGUGUGUCAGAGGAUGGUGGAAUUCCCGGUGUUGCGGUGAAAUGCGUAGAGAUCGGGAGGAACAUCAGUGGCGAAGGCGGCCAUCUGGGACAACACUGACGCUGAGGCACGAAAGCGUGGGGAGCAAACAGGAUUAGAUACCCCCGUAGUCCCUGUCUCUUAUAU